This 238-nucleotide ribosomal RNA is filed under the name uncultured bacterium. RNAcentral describes it as "partial 16S ribosomal RNA". It matches the Rfam family "Bacterial small subunit ribosomal RNA", at positions 8 to 225 of the family's 1533-position model. The record is from RNAcentral.
AGAGUUUGAUCCUGGCUCAGGAUGAACGCUGGCGGCGUGCCUAACACAUGCAAGUCGAACGAAGCUUGACGGAUGAUUUCUUCGGAAUGAAACCAGAUAUGACUUAGUGGCGGACGGGUGAGUAACACGUGAGCAACCUGCCUUUUCAGAGGGGGAUAACGGCUGGAAACGGUCGCUAAUACCGCAUGAUGUGUUCGGAUGGCAUCAUCUGAACAUCAAAGAUUUUAUCGCUGAAAAG